UUUCACCUGGAGCUGAUUUUUCAUGGAGGCUGUGCUGGUUGCUCUGGGAUUCCGGGAAAACCCCAAGGCGUGGCCUAAUCAUUCUCAGGUGCAACCCAUAAACCAAGAUCUGACAAGUACAAAGAGAAAAAUGAGUAUGCCUUCCAAAAAUAAAGAGGAAAAAUAAAUGAAUAGAUAAACUGCAAGGCAAGGUCGGGAAAGCAAAACACUGAAAAUUGGUAUUACUCGGCGUGUUAUAUAUACAAACAACAAAGACUUCUACAAAAAGAAAUGAACCAUAGCUGGCAAAGCAGUUGGAUUGUGAGCGUGUGACUGAUUAUUCAAAACGGUUCUAUGAUUAAUUCAUUUUGUAUUGAUGCAAAUAAUCCUAACAGAGACCUCUGAAAGCUAAUGUAUUUUCUGUACCGUGGUUUUCUAUUGAUCUCUUCAAAUGGUGGAGGAAAGCUAUUUUCAUAAUAUUAA
Molecule: long non-coding RNA, 462 nt
Organism: Xenopus tropicalis (tropical clawed frog)
Lineage: Eukaryota; Metazoa; Chordata; Amphibia; Anura; Pipidae
Exons: 2
Source: RefSeq, a predicted model, not a curated record